GGCAGCUGGAGAUUAGGUCUGGGCCACCACGAAGGCCUCCUCUUCAGUUUCCUAGAAGACACUCUCCUCUCGGGACUCCGAGGUCCCCUUCCCACAGCCUACCCUCCCUCCUCUAGUCGGAAUGGCGAUGAUGGCCAGACGCAGGACACUCCGGGCCACUUCAGGCACACAGGGUCAGCUGUAACACUGCCUGUCUCUCUUCAACUCAAGAAACAGCACUGACCCAGCCAGCUGCAUGCUGUGAACAGCUUCAUGCAGAGGUCUCUGUGCCAAAGAACUGAUAUCUCCAACCAGUGACUGACAAGGACUUGAGACCUGCCAACAGUCACGUGAGUGAGUUUGGAAAGGGACCCUCUUCCAAUUGAAUCUUGAAAUGCCUGCCACUCUGGCUGACAGUGUGACUACAACCUCACGACAGACCUGGACCAGAAGCAUCUAGAUAAACUGCACCUGGAUUCCUAGUCCUCAGAAACUGUGUAAUAAUAUGCUUGCUGUUUUGAGCUGCUAAUCACCUUAAAAUUUUCAAGUGCCAGUAGAUAACUAAUACAGAUUUUGGUGUCAUGAGUAGGGUUCUAUUUGUUUUGUUUUGUUUUGUUUUUAAAGAUUUUAUUUAUUUGAGAGAGCACAUAAA
Molecule: long non-coding RNA, 631 nt
Organism: Mirounga angustirostris (Northern elephant seal)
Lineage: Eukaryota; Metazoa; Chordata; Mammalia; Carnivora; Phocidae
Exons: 3
Source: RefSeq, a predicted model, not a curated record